GACGAACGCUGGCGGCGUGCCUAAUACAUGCAAGUUGAGCGCUGAAGGUUGGUACUUGUACCAACUGGAUGAGCAGCGAACGGGUGAGUAACGCGUGGGGAAUCUGCCUUUGAGCGGGGGACAACAUUUGGAAACGAAUGCUAAUACCGCAUAAAAACUUUAAACACAAGUUUUAAGUUUGAAAGAUGCAAUUGCCUCACUCAAAGAUGAUCCCGCGUUGUAUUAGCUAGUUGGUGAGGUAAAGGCUCACCAAGGCGAUGAUACAUAGCCGACCUGAGAGGGUGAUCGGCCACAUUGGGACUGAGACACGGCCCAAACUCCUACGGGAGGCAGCAGUAGGGAAUCUUCGGCAAUGGACGAAAGUCUGACCGAGCAACGCCGCGUGAGUGAAGAAGGUUUUCGGAUCGUAAAACUCUGUUGGUAGAGAAGAAAGUUGGUGAGAGUGGAAAGCUCAUCAAGUGACGGUAACUACCCAGAAAGGGACGGCUAACCACGUG
RNAcentral lists this ribosomal RNA (497 nucleotides) under uncultured bacterium. RNAcentral describes it as "partial 16S ribosomal RNA". It matches the Rfam family "Bacterial small subunit ribosomal RNA", at positions 28 to 507 of the family's 1533-position model. The record is from RNAcentral.